CACGUAGUUAGCCGGUGCUUCUUCUUACGGUACCGUCAUCCUCCGAAGGUAUUAGCCUCGAAGUUUUCUUUCCGUCUGAAAGAGCUUUACAACCCGAAGGCCUUCUUCACUCACGCGGCAUGGCUGGAUCAGGCUUUCGCCCAUUGUCCAAAAUUCCCCACUGCUGCCUCCCGUAGGAGUCUGGGCCGUGUCUCAGUCCCAGUGUGGCUGAUCAUCCUCUCAGACCAGCUACGGAUCGUUGCCUUGGUAGGCCUUUACCCCACCAACUAGCUAAUCCGACAUCGGCCGCUCCAAUCGCGCAAGGUCUUGCGAUCCCCUGCUUUCUCCCUCAGGACGUAUGCGGUAUUAGCGUAACUUUCGCUACGUUAUCCCCCACGACUGGGUACGUUCCGAUGCAUUACUCACCCGUUCGCCACUAACCUAGGAGCAAGCCCCUAGAUCCGUUCGACUUGCAUGUGUAAGGCAUGCCGCCAGCGUUCAAUCUGAGCCAGGAUCAAACUCU
This 502-nucleotide ribosomal RNA is filed under the name uncultured beta proteobacterium. RNAcentral's name for it is "partial 16S ribosomal RNA". The record is from RNAcentral. Lineage: Bacteria; Pseudomonadati; Pseudomonadota; Betaproteobacteria.